GAAAACGGUCGCUGUCACACAUGCAAGUCGCACGCUGAAGCCGACAGCUUGCUGUUGGUGGAUGAGUGGCGAACGGGUGAGUAACACGUGAGUAACCUGCCCCUGCAUUUCGGGAUAAGCCUGGGAAACCGGGUCUAAUACCGGAUACGACCAAUCCUUGCAUGAGGGUUGGUGGAAAGUUUUUCGAUCGGGGAUGGGCUCGCGGCCUAUCAGCUUGUUGGUGGGGUAAUGGCCCACCAAGGCGACGACGGGUAGCCGGCCUGAGAGGGCGACCGGCCACACUGGGACUGAGACACGGCCCAGACUCCUACGGGAGGCAGCAGUGGGGAAUAUUGCACAAUGGGGGAAACCCUGAUGCAGCGACGCAGCGUGCGGGAUGACGGCCUUCGGGUUGUAUUGGCGAGAGUCGUCCCUUCUUCGCUUUCACUGCCAUGGACGUCUUCUUCAUGGCCGAUUGAUGCACGGUCGUCGGCGCCAUUAUGCAUCCCAUGCUCGCAACAGGCCUUAAUAACCCGCAUUUCUCGAGCAUCCACCAACCAGUGCAGACGACACCUUUGCGUUGCGAAUUGCAACGCGCACGUCACCCAUGCCCGACUGAUCUCACGUCAUCCCCUCAGACCUUAAGGACCAACAUCGCCACUUUACGCGUCUAUAGUCCUCCUUGUGGCCACCGCUUCCGCCCUGAGACCCGACAUUGACUCACUGAGGAGCGAAAGCAUGGGGAGCGAACAGGAUUAGAUACCCUGGUAGUCCAUGCCGUAAACGUUGGGCACUAGGUGUGGGGGACAUUCCACGUUCUCCGCGCCGUAGCUAACGCAUUAAGUGCCCCGCCUGGGGAGUACGGGUCGCAAGGCUAAAACUCAAAGGUAUUGACGGGGGCCCGCACAAGCGGUCGGUAGCAUGCGGAUUAAUUCGAUGCAACGUCGUAAGUAACAUUACCAAGUCUUGACAUACACUGGACCGUUCUGGAUACAGUUCUUCUCACUGUAGUCUGGUGAUACAGGUGGUG
Molecule: ribosomal RNA, 1009 nt
Filed under: uncultured Brevibacterium sp.
Lineage: Bacteria; Bacillati; Actinomycetota; Actinomycetes; Micrococcales; Brevibacteriaceae
Description: bacterial SSU rRNA
Rfam family: Bacterial small subunit ribosomal RNA
Source: RNAcentral